This 470-nucleotide ribosomal RNA is filed under the name uncultured bacterium. RNAcentral describes it as "bacterial SSU rRNA". It matches the Rfam family "Bacterial small subunit ribosomal RNA", at positions 28 to 499 of the family's 1533-position model. The record is from RNAcentral.
GAUGAACGCUGGCGGCGUGCUUAACACAUGCAAGUCGAACGGGAAAUAUUUCAUUGAGACUUCGGUGGAUUUGAUCUAUUUCUAGUGGCGGACGGGUGAGUAACGCGUGGGUAACCUGCCUUAUACAGGGGGAUAACAGUCAGAAAUGGCUGCUAAUACCGCAUAAGCGCACAGAGCUGCAUGGCUCAGUGUGAAAAACUCCGGUGGUACAAGAUGGACCCGCGUCUGAUUAGCUUGUUGGCGGGGUAACGGCCCACCAAGGCGACGAUCCAUAGCCGGCCUGAGAGGGUGAACGGCCACAUUGGGACUGAGACACGGCCCAGACUCCUACGGGAGGCAGCAGUGGGGAAUAUUGCACAAUGGGGGAAACCCUGAUGCAGCGACGCCGCGUGAAGGAAGAAGUAUCUCGGUAUGUAAACUUCUAUCAGCAGGGAAGAUAGUGACGGUACCUGACUAAGAAGCCCCGGCUA